Long non-coding RNA from Heterocephalus glaber (naked mole-rat), 609 nucleotides. NCBI's taxonomy places the organism in Eukaryota, Metazoa, Chordata, Mammalia, Rodentia, Bathyergidae. The record is from Ensembl.
CUAAAACCAUGCCAGAAACAGUUGACUCAUGUGUAAGAGGACCAUGGUAAGGGCAGGAGUCAAGCAACUGGAUCUCCAUCCCACUGGAACUGGGGCUCAGCAUGGAGUACAGGGCUGGGAUACAGACAACCCCCUUCCAAAUAAACCAAUAUGUGGGUGUGGAACCUUUGUACCAGCAGAAGCCAGCAGGUUUGGAAAGGACUAGAGGGAAUCAGCCCAGGUCCACCCCAAAAAAGAAACAAACAGCUCUUUGGCAGCAACAUCUCCCUUCUUCCCAUUUUCUCUAUGGUGAGGCUUUGUAGCAGUGGUUCCUGGGCUUGGCUUCAGGUUAGAAUGACCCAAGGAGUAUCCAGGACUUUUCAGAACAACUCAAUCAGAAUCUCUACGGUGGAGCCAGGAAUUGAACUUGGGACCUUGCACUUGUGAGGCAGGCAGUGGAACCACCGAGCUAAAUUCCUGGCCCCCAUGACUUCUAUUAAUAAAAACCAUGUAAGCUUUAAAAACGUUUUUGGGGUUUUUUAUAGGAUGUUAAAUUUUGAGUUAUUUUAGUCACAGAACUUUUAGUCAUUUACAUAAACCCUGCACAAAAUAGAACAAAGAGAAUGUUAC